Molecule: long non-coding RNA, 3273 nt
Organism: Mercenaria mercenaria
Lineage: Eukaryota; Metazoa; Mollusca; Bivalvia; Venerida; Veneridae
Exons: 2
Source: RefSeq, a predicted model, not a curated record
AUAAGAAAAUAAUUAUCCUCUAAUACGUUAUAAUAAGUUUAUCAAAUGGAUGCUGUGGGUAGAUAUUUUGUAAAUAAAUACAAACCUGUACCAAGAAAUCAAGGCUUCCUGACCAUAAAAUUAGGUCAUAUGAGAGGUUUGUCAAGUAUUAAAUUAUUCUUCAAAACAUAUGAUAUAAGGAGAGCUAAAGAGUUACAGAAAUAAAGAAAAACAACAAAAUAAGAAUGUAAAACAGGAGUAUCCAGUCGGUUGUCGGAUUAGUGAAAUAACAUUACAUCAUUAUUGUUUUUAAACUUAUACAGUAAAUUACACGUAUUCGGGAUUAAACUUGACUCAAAAAAUAUAAAUGUACAAAUAAUCAGUAAAUAUACAUCAGUAACGGCGAAGAAGUAUUUAAAUACGUAUAUAAAAGAACAUAGAGGGAUGCGCUCCAUCGUUAAGUUCUACAAAUGGCAAUGAACUAUUUAAAAUUUUAUAGCUGCUUUAACCAGGAUUCCAUGUUUUCAAAUGUUACUAAUUAGUGACUUCAUGGUUAUAAGCUCAUCUUUAAAGAUGAAAAGAUACACUGACUUUGAAUUUAUAAAGUAUCAGUUAUACUACAAAGACUGUAAUCUGUAUUUUACUUCAUUUUAAUACGAGUAUGCACCGCCUGCUUUGCUAUAUCAAUACAAAAACGCUGGAGACGUGCGUUCGAUCCUAUCACUUCUGUUAUUUCUUUAUUAUUAUUAUUAUUAUUAUUGUUGUUGUUGUUUUGUCUAUCUCUGAUACAAAAAAGGGCAUAUUCCGUAGAAUGUGUACAUGUAAUCAUUGUAACAUAAAAAUUAUUCACUUGAUGAAGACAGUCAUAUUGCAGGCUAAUCACUGCAAUUUUUUAAUGAGUUCAUAAUAGCAAUUCUAUUCAACAUUAUCUUUUACCACUCUGCAAUUAACGUAUUAAUACAAUACACAGAAUGGCAACAAGAGAUAAUCUCGCGUUUACAAUGCGCAUGCCAAGCGCCUCAGGUCAAAAAUACCCCGCCGCGAUCACAACGUUACUGUUAUUUGUGUCACUUUUAAGCGGAUAAUUAGUGAGAAAGGAGCUUAGGGAUUUAUGCAGGUCGUCUAAACGCAAAAACCGGUCAUGCGGAUAGACAUCAAAAUGUGGAACUGAACUGGUAUUUGAGACUUAAAUCUUCAGAAUAUUACUUCAUAAAAGUGGUGGAAAAUCGAAGUGGAAGUCUUUAGGAAUGGCGAGUAAACAGUUGUGUCUCUUUGGAGAAACGAUGAUACAAUAUUUACGUCUACAUUCAAAUGAUGCUAUUCAAGGUAACACAAUACUCAAAGAAGCUGACAUUUGGCAGUGUGAGAAAGGAAGUCUACUUUUGCACGACAGGAAAAAUGAUAUUUGCAUGCAUAUUUUAUCGGAAGCAGCUGCAAAAACACGGUCAGGAAACUCUUUGAAAUUAUGGUGUGGUAGCCUAUUUUACUGUUUUUGGUCCGCCUUGGUGGGACGAUAUUAAGAUAAGAGUUUUAUAUGAAAAGCUACGAUAAAGUCUGAUGAUCUCGAAUGUGGAAAACAUAGACUUGAUUUAGAAGUUUCCGCUAAGAAAUAAAGCCUCUGCGUUGGACCAGCUGCAAUUUUUUGCCGUCAUCUGAAGAUCUUAUCUUUCAGGAAUAAAUUCGCUGGACCAGCUACUCUGCCUAACUGUGACCUCCAUUUCUCUGUCUCUCCUUCCGGUGCGGCUCAAACUCCGAUGCUCUCGAUCUGAAGUCGAAGGCCCUACGACUGAGCUUUAAUGGCUAACGAUUCCACUUUCUGUGAUGUAAUUUUGUGUAAUAGUAGAGCGAUGUUAGAAUAAGUGUUCACGACGUUGAAUCGACAACGGCCGCAUACUAACGUUUUCUACAAAGCUAAGCUUGUUUAAAUUAAAAUUCGUUUACAAUUCAUGUGCGAAGCCACUACUGCAGACGACAAUUCAUAUUGGAAGACGAAUACACUGCAUAUUACUUCGAGCUGAUACCAACGCGAAGGUAACCACAGGGACAGUUUACUGAGGUAUUGACACACUAAAUAGCUGUAGGCUCUUCUUUUAUUUAUAUGAAAUAGAGGAACUUCCAGCGGCUGCAGCGCAUACUGAGUAAGGCACACACCGGGGACCAUUUGAAAAGACUGUGACUUAGUUACCUUAUCUUGAGGAAUGUUGUCAGUGCAGUAUACAAAUCGGAAGAAUGACUUAUUUUCCAUGACAAGUUAAGAUUUUUUACGACGAAAACGCUACCAACAUUUCAGGGAUAGACCUGUUAAAUAAUUUCAACCAAAACAAUUCAUCAAAAGAACAGAGCCAAAACUGCGAUCUAUUUGAAUCUGUUAUUUUCUACCAUUUUUUUUCGCGCCAUUUUCUUAUUUGUUAAUGUCUGUAUACCCACAGAGUUGCAAGUCUGCACGUUUGAAACAAAUAGUUUUACAAUGCAGAAUUUCAUUGAACCUUUUUCUUAAAAAAAAAAAAAAGAGAAAAAAAAAACAAACAAAAAAACGAAGGAAAUUGAGUUACAAAAAAAAAAGAUAAGAUCGUAUGCUUAAUUUAUUGUACGACCGAUUUUGCCUUGAUUUCUUUUUAAUGUGUCAUUCAUAAAAGUUCGAAAAUUUCCGAUGGUAUAAAAUCAAUAGAUUGUCAGUUUUCAGUUAAAACAUAAGUUUGUUUGUUGGUUUGUGUUGAGCUAGUGUUUCAGUUAUGUAAUGCCAGACAGUUAACCUAACCGGUGUUCAUUGAUUUACAAUCCUGAUCUCCGCAAGUACGCCAACUUCCCCACAUAAACCAGAGGUGCAGGACAAUGAUUUCAGGUACAAUGCAUUUUAUCAGAUCGCCACGGAGAGCACAGGCCUCGCACAAUCGAACUCACGACUCCGCGAUACCUAGAUCUGCGUUCUCCCUAUUUGGGCUAAGCGGGCAGACCUAUUCUACAAAAAUCAAUGGUUUCAUUGUCGCAGCUAAAUACACUGAAUGAUAGAUAUAACUGCACAAGACACAUACUUUUUUUUUUAAAUCUAUAACUGAAAAACGUCGAACGCCAAAAAACAUCGUAGAAGUUGUUUAUUACGGAAAUGAGACUGAUGUUAUAAAACUAAUUCAUUAUUUAACAAUGUUUUGUGGUGUUAAGGUACAUCGACUUUUAUCACAUGUCGUAUUUAAAAGAUAUAAAUGUAGCUGCACUGGUUUUAUUUUACUUGUUAUUGUGUUCUGUACCGAUAUGAUAUAUUUCAUUGUACCAAUAAAGCUGAAUAUUUCAAGUUGA